This 253-nucleotide ribosomal RNA is filed under the name uncultured bacterium. RNAcentral's name for it is "partial 16S ribosomal RNA". It matches the Rfam family "Bacterial small subunit ribosomal RNA", at positions 524 to 776 of the family's 1533-position model. The record is from RNAcentral.
UACAGAGGGUGCAAGCGUUAUCCGGAAUUAUUGGGCGUAAAGAGCUCGUAGGCGGUUUGUCGCGUCGAAUGUGAAAACCCGGGGCUCAACCCCGGGCCUGCAUUCGAUACGGGCAGACUAGAGUUCGGUAGGGGAGUCUGGAAUUCCUGGUGUAGCGGUGAAAUGCGCAGAUAUCAGGAGGAACACCGGUGGCGAAGGCGGGACUCUGGGCCGAUACUGACGCUGAGGAGCGAAAGCGUGGGGAGCAAACGGG